This 870-nucleotide ribosomal RNA is filed under the name uncultured archaeon. Its description in RNAcentral is "bacterial SSU rRNA". It matches the Rfam family "Archaeal small subunit ribosomal RNA", at positions 4 to 882 of the family's 1478-position model. The record is from RNAcentral.
CUGGUUGAUCCUGCCAGACCCGACUGCUAUCGGAUUGGGACUAAGCCAUGCGAGUCAACUCCGCAAGGGGUGGCGCACGGCUCAGUAACACGUAGUCAACCUACCCUGGGGACGGGGAUAACCUCGGGAAACUGAGGCUAAACCCCGAUGGGCCAUGGCUCCUGGAAUGGGCUAUGGCUGAAAUCUACAUGGCCCCAGGAUGGGACUGCGGCCGAUCAGGUUGUUGGUGGGGUAAUGGCCCACCAAGCCUAUAACCGGUGCGGGCUCUGAGAGGAGGAGCCCGGAGAUAGGCACUGAGACAAGGGCCCAGGUCCUAUGGGGCGCAGCAGGCGCGAAACCUCCGCAAUGGGCGAAAGCCCGACGGGGUCAGUCCGAGUGGUUCCCGCUGAGGGAACCUUUUGCCAGCUGUAAACAGGCUGGCGAAUAAGGGGUGGGCAAGUUUGGUGUCAGCCGCCGCGGUAAUACCAGCACCCCGAGUGGUCGGGACGAUUAUUGGGCCUAAAGCAUCCGUAGCCGGCCCAGUAAGUCCUCCGUUAAAUCCAACGGCUCAACCGUUGGGCUGCGGGGGAUACUGCUGGGCUAGGGGACGGGAGAGGCGAGGGGUAUUCUCGGGGUAGGGGUAAAAUCCACUGAUCCCGGGAGGACCACCAGUGGCGAAGGCGCCUCGCUAGAACGUGCCCGACGGUGAGGGAUGAAAGCUGGGGGAGCGAACCGGAUUAGAUACCCGGGUAGUCCCAGCCGUAAACGAUGUAGGCUCGGUGUUGGGCUGCCUCAGUGGCAGCCCAGUGCCGCAAGGAAGCCGUUAAGCCUACCGCCUGGGGAGUACGGCCGCAAGGCUGAAACUUAAAGGAAUUGGCGGGGGAGCACCAC